GACGAACGCUGGCGGCGUGCCUAAUACAUGCAAGUUGAGCGCUGAAGGUUGGUACUUGUACCAACUGGAUGAGCAGCGAACGGGUGAGUAACGCGUGGGGAAUCUGCCUUUGAGCGGGGGACAACAUUUGGAAACGAAUGCUAAUACCGCAUAAAAACUUUAAACACAAGUUUUAAGUUUGAAAGAUGCAAUUGCAUCACUCAAAGAUGAUCCCGCGUUGUAUUAGCUAGUUGGUGAGGUAAAGGCUCACCAAGGCGAGGAUACAUAGCCGACCUGAGAGGGUGAUCGGCCACAUUGGGACUGAGACACGGCCCAAACUCCUACGGGAGGCAGCAGUAGGGAAUCUUCGGCAAUGGACGAAAGUCUGACCGAGCAACGCCGCGUGAGUGAAGAAGGUUGUCGGAUCGUAAAACUCUGUUGGUAGAGAAGAACGUUGGUGAGAGUGGAAAGCUCAUCAAGUGACGGUAACUACCCAGAAAGGGACGGCUAACUACGUG
This 497-nucleotide ribosomal RNA is filed under the name uncultured bacterium. RNAcentral describes it as "partial 16S ribosomal RNA". It matches the Rfam family "Bacterial small subunit ribosomal RNA", at positions 28 to 507 of the family's 1533-position model. The record is from RNAcentral.